Long non-coding RNA from Musa acuminata AAA Group (dessert banana), 2612 nucleotides. RefSeq lists it as uncharacterized. The record is from RefSeq and is a predicted model, not a curated record. NCBI's taxonomy places the organism in Eukaryota, Viridiplantae, Streptophyta, Magnoliopsida, Zingiberales, Musaceae. The transcript has 2 exons.
UUUGUAGUUGUUCUUUAAGGUAUUUUCCUAUCUGCUCGAGAAGAUGGCCUCUGUUCCCGUUCUGGUGGUUGAGAAAUGGCGUUUCGAGUGAGGGGAAGAGCGGGAUUAGUAGGAGGGCGGAUGGCAGGCAAGUUUUGAUCUCUUUUAUUUCCCUGGUUAUUAUCUUCUCCCUCUCUCUCUCUCUCUCGCCCACAGCCAUCCACCCACCCACCAUCUCGUUCACGUUUCUCAAGGAUGGUUUGAGAGGAAAGAAUGGGAUAGAUGAUUGAAUCCUUCCUCGCCACAGAACAGUCAUCUCAUCUUGUCUGUCGCUACGUACGUCACAAGAAGAAUAAUCCCAUCCUCACCCACAGUAGUCCUCUCAUUUUCACCCUCUUUAAUUUGGUAGUAAAUUUGCCCUCCCCCUCUCUCUUUCUCUCUCCGUGUAUAAAUACCAUCUAUAUCUAUCCUCCUCUCUCGGUGAGAAGUAUCAUCUGCUUGAGGCAGUGGCAUGUGAUCUACUCUGUGUCAUGUGGGCUUAUCAAAGGGUUGCUCGCAGAGGUGAUUGGCAUUCUGUCCACCUCCAGCCACAUCCAUCUCUCAUGAACAAGGAGAAGCAUACGGAUGGAGGUGGGCAUCCUGCCAACUGAACUCUGCUAGCUUCUCUUUGUAAAACCCAUGUGACAUAUCUUUCUUGCAACCGAGCACUUGGAUCCUUCUCAUAGAAGUACACAAAACAUGCACUGGAAGCAUGAAGGAAGGUCUUCCCUUCUUGGAUGCUAUCGUAUGUCAUCGUUGGAUGUUGGAAUUACAUGGGCUGUUUCGAUUUGCCUCCGCGCUCCAGGAAUGAUUACACACGGGAUCUUCUAGCUUUGCUUGGUUUUGCUUGUUUCCUCUCUCAGCCAUUCCUGUUGAUGCUUUACUGGUAUUCGUGUGCUAAUAUUUCAGAAGCGUUCCAAUCUCAGAUCUGAUGUAGGGCGAGAGUGGGAACGAGAGAUAGGAAGAAGACACAAGACUAUCUCAUUGUGAACCCUAAUUCCUUUCUAUUUUCUCUCUCAUGAAAAAUAUUUCUUUUUUUUCCCUAUCCAUUUUCUCUCACUGAUUUUUUUGGGGUUCUUUUUUACUCGAAAAAGGGGAACAAAAUCAUUCUUCGAUCUUCUUUCUUGCACCACCUUUUGCCAUCAUAGUGAAUUGAACUGUCUCAGGAAUGCUGAGAUCUUUUCCAGAAAUCUUAUGUUCAUGAUCUAUUCUUGAAGUUUCAGAAAUGUGUUGCAGAUAUUUAAUUUCGUUUUGUUUUUAGCUAUUUGUUUCUCGUUGCAAUCGCAGAUUAAAACUAAUUAAAAAUGUAACAAAAUCACGAACAUAAGAUCUUGUUUGUUUCUAUUUCUUGGUUUCAUUGCAGGAUUUCAGUAAAAUGUAGGAUCAUCACCACUGUUAGGGUUCUAUCAUCUUUCACCCAUGCUAGAGAGAAACGAAUGCUUGACAAUGAUAAAGGUUUGUUCUUUCUUUUUUCUGUCUAAUAGUCGAAGAUUAUCCUUAAAGAACGAGGAGUACAUGUACUCGAACAUCGUCUUCCUUAUAGUUAUGUUUUGAUUUGGGUUUUGGAUGAACUAUUUUGUGCAAUUAAAGCUCCAUGCAUAUGCAUAUAUGUCCCUAUUCAUCAUUAGGCUGGUUGAGAUAAAAGAUAGCAUGUGAUUUAUAUUCUUAUUUUUGUUUCAGAAAAUACAACUUGCCGUGAAAACACACCACAUUUCUUCCUAUUUGGAAAACAGAAACAGCAAGCUCUUCAAUUUCAAAAUGACAAGUGCAUAUCAUCAUAUCAUAUCAUAUAUAUGCGCAUCACUCAAUUAUUUUGGCUUAUAUGUUUCAUUUUCCUUAGAAACCUCAAAUGUAAAUGCAAUCAAUAUAUUCCAGUCUUUUCUUAUCUUCUUGUUGAACUUGUGAUUCCGAAAACAACAUACAUGCAUUAGAUGCUUGAUGUUAAGAUUCAACCCGGGAGAAGGUGCUGUUCUCAUGAGCAUUAAUGGGUCAAGAGGAAGAGGAAGGCUUGAACAGCUGUAGGACGUUUGAUCUUUACCAUUUGGCAGUGGAGGGGCAUUGAGAUCAUCAUUCUCUUGUGCUAGCAUAGUAAUCUCUCUUGAAGUUGUCACCUAAUAAUGAGCUGCUUGAACCGUUCUUGAUCCAUAUUAAGUGGUCAAUGUUGCCAGGAGCCUGGGGAGCUCAGAAGGCAUUCAUUGUUUCAGCCUGCAGCAGCUGCUGAAAGUGAGUUCCAACAUGCUUUUGGUGGUGGAAUAAUUGCUCAUAGUUGUCUCUUUGCACAGAAGAUGCAUCAACCUUCUCUUUCCUACCUUCUUCCCUUAUGAGUUGCAUCCUGUUGGACCACAAAAACUUAUCACAUCAGACAAUACAAUUCUUUUCAGUAUACUCAUCAGAAAAUAAUGCUUUCAGGUUGAUCUGAAGAUGUGGUGUGUCAUCUCAAACUGGUAAUCCCUCAUAUGCUCCCCUUAUUAGACAGCUUGCCAUUUGCAGCAUUCUCACCCAAAAUAUGAUAUGAGCCACUGACAAAUGUAAUGAGUUAAUUGUGUUGGAAUUGUUGCUUUUCGCAAAUGGGUAUAAGAUUCAUGGCCAUCAUA